This 253-nucleotide ribosomal RNA is filed under the name uncultured bacterium. Its description in RNAcentral is "partial 16S ribosomal RNA". It matches the Rfam family "Bacterial small subunit ribosomal RNA", at positions 524 to 776 of the family's 1533-position model. The record is from RNAcentral.
UACGAAAGGGGCUAGCGUUGUUCGGAAUUACUGGGCGUAAAGAGCACGUAGGCGGCCUGCCAAGUUAGGGGUGAAAGCCCAGAGCUCAACUCUGGAAUUGCCUCUAAAACUGGUAAGCUCGAGGAUGUGAGAGGUGAGUGGAAUUCCGAGUGUAGAGGUGAAAUUCGUAGAUAUUCGGAAGAACACCGGUGGCGAAGGCGACUUACUGGCACAUUUCUGACGCUGAGGUGCGAAAGCGUUGGGAGCAAACAGG